GAUGAACGCUGGCGGCGUGCCUAAUACAUGCAAGUCGAGCGAGAAAUUAAUAGAUGAAACUUCAGUAGACUUUCUUGAUGGAGAGCGGCGGACGGGUGAGUAACGCGUAGGCAACCUGCCCUUGACAGAGGGAUAGCCAUUGGAAACGAUGAUUAAAACCUCAUAAUGUCGUAAUAGCACAUGCUCAAACGGUCAAAGAUUUAUCGGUCAGGGAUGGGCCUGCGUCUGAUUAACUAGUUGGUAAGGUAACGGCUUACCAAGGUGACGAUCAGUAGCCGACCUGAGAGGGUGAUCGGCCACAUUGGAACUGAGACACGGUCCAAACUUCUACGGAAGGCAGCAGUAGGGAAUCUUGCACAAUGGGCGAAAGCCUGAUGCAUCAACGCCGCGUGAAGGAUGAAGGCCUUCGGGUUGUAAACUUCUGUUCUUAGGGAAGAAACAAAUGACGGUACCUAAGGAGCAAGCCCCGGCUAACUACGUGCCAGCAGCCGCGGUAAUACGUAGGGGGCAAGCGUUAUCCCGAAUUAUUGGGCGUAAAGAGUGCGUAGGUGGUUACCUAAGCGCAAGGUUUAAUCUAACAGCUUAACUGUUUUCUGCCUUGCGAACUGGGCUACUUGAGUGCGGGAGGGGAAAGCGGAAUUCCUAGUGUAGCGGUGAAAUGCGUAGAUAUUAGGAGGAACACCAGCGGCGAAGGCGGCUUUCUGGACUGCAACUGACACUGAGGCACGAAAGCGUGGGGAGCAAACAGGAUUAGAUACCCUGGUAGUCCACGCCGUAAACGAUGAGCACUAGAUGUUGGGAUCUAACGAUUUCAGUGUCGCAGUUCAACGCAAUAAGUGCUCCGCCUGGGGAGUACGUUCGCAAGAAUAAAACUCAAAGGAAUUGACGGGGACCCGCACAAGCAGCGGAGCAUGUGGUUUAAUUCGAAGCAACGCGAAGAACCUUACCAGGGCUUGACAUCCUGCUGACAGGAGUUUAAUCGCUCCCUUCUUCGGACAGCAGAGACAGGUGGUGCAUGGUUGUCGUCAGCUCGUGUCGUGAGAUGUUGGGUUAAGUCCCGCAACGAGCGCAACCCUUGUCGUUAGUUACUAACAUUCAGUUGAGGACUCUAACGAGACUGCCGAGGUCAACUCGGAGGAAGGUGGGGAUGACGUCAAAUCAUCAUGCCCCUUAUGUUCUGGGCUACACACGUGCUACAAUGGUCGGUACAAUGGGAAGCAAAGCUGUGAAGUGGAGCAAAUCACCAAAGCCGAUCCCAGUUCGGAUUGUAGGCUGAAACUCGCCUACAUGAAGAUGGAGUUGCUAGUAAUCGCAGAUCAGAAUGCUGCGGUGAAUGCGUUCCCGGGUCU
This 1349-nucleotide ribosomal RNA is filed under the name uncultured bacterium. RNAcentral's name for it is "bacterial SSU rRNA". It matches the Rfam family "Bacterial small subunit ribosomal RNA", at positions 28 to 1381 of the family's 1533-position model. The record is from RNAcentral.